UACGGAGGAUGCAAGCGUUAUCCGGAUUUAUUGGGUUUAAAGGGUGCGCAGGUUGUUUGAUAAGUCAGUGGUGAAAGUCUGUCGCUUAACGGUAGGAUUGCCAUUGAUACUGUUGGACUUGAAUAUGGAUGAGGUAGGCGGAAUGUGUAGUGUAGCGGUGAAAUGCUUAGAUAUUACACAGAACACCAAUUGCGUAGGCAGCUUACUGAGCCGACACUGACGCUGAGGCACGAAAGCGUGGGGAUCGAACAGGAUUA
Molecule: ribosomal RNA, 257 nt
Filed under: uncultured prokaryote
Description: partial 16S ribosomal RNA
Rfam family: Bacterial small subunit ribosomal RNA
Source: RNAcentral